GUAAAUACUAAGAUUUAGUUGUGAAAAGCUGUAUUUCCCCAAGACGACCCCAUGAGCGUGUCUCCCUUCCUGCAUGCCCUUCCUACUGUGGGAUGGCCACAUUCCUCCACGAAGAGGUGGGGUCUUCUCCAACCUGAAUGGAAAUCUAUAACUCCCUCUAGCAAUGCAAUCCAGGGGAAAUGAGGCCGAGCGACUUCUGAGGCUGGGUCACAAGAGAUCAUGGAACUUCUGCCUGACUCUCUCUCGGGACAUGGCCCUUUGGAGCCCUGAACUGCUCUGUAAGCAUUCCAGACACCCUGAAGCCACAGACCUGGACGGACCAUGUAGAGACAGAGAAGACACCCAACUGGCCCAGCAUCACAAGGCAUAGGCUCAUAUCUCCACGGAAUUCCAGCAAUGGACUCUGCAGAAGUCACCGAAUUAAUGCUCACCCCGGAAUCCUGACAAGCUAAUAUGGGUGGACAGACUCCAGAAACAACAGGGGACUUCAGCAGACACAAGUGGAUCCGAUGCUCGUGUUCACCCAUAGUUAGAUCCACCAACCUGGCAGCUCCUCAGCAGAAGCAAGUUUCCAGAGGCCUAAGCAUCUUUUAUUGUUGCUGUGGCUGCUGUGGUUGUUUAACCAUGGGAAAGUAAAACUUCUGUUCAUUCCUUCAUCCAAUGGUGGUGAAGCCCUAUAUGGGCCAGGCAUGGGGCUAGGCGCUGGGAUGCAGCUGUGAACUGAUAGAGGGUUCUGCCUUCUGCCUUCAUGCAAUGAAAAAUACCAAUGGAGCACUGAUCCGAAUAUGGCAUGAGGGCUGCGAGAGGGGACACCUGAGACCGUGAGUGGGCAGAGAAGGUGCGCCGGGCCUAGAGAUGGAUAACGGCAUCCACCGACGGGGAUUGAAGGAAUUCCCGUGUCCCAAGGUAGACUGCAUCCAGCUAUGGACCACAUGUUUAUUCCUCUCUGAAGCCUUAGGUUGAAAUCCUGACCCCCCGGUGUCCCUGAAUGACUCAGUCAGUUAUGCAUCCAAAUCUGGAUUUGGGCUCAAUUCAUGAUCUCCAGGUUGUAAGAUUGAUCCCUGCAUCGAGUCUGCUUGUCCCUAUCCCCCUGCUCCUUCCCACCCCCCCAACUCUCUUUCUUGC
RNAcentral lists this long non-coding RNA (1125 nucleotides) under Mustela putorius furo (domestic ferret). RNAcentral describes it as "lncRNA (ENSMPUG00000028351.1)". Lineage: Eukaryota; Metazoa; Chordata; Mammalia; Carnivora; Mustelidae. The record is from RNAcentral.